CUGGCUCAGGAUGAACGCUGGCGGCGUGCUUAACACAUGCAAGUCGAACGGAGUUUUUAAACGGAGGUUUCGGAUGGAAGUUAAGAACUUAGUGGCGGACGGGUGAGUAACGCGUGGGUAACCUGCCUCAUACAGGGGGAUAACAGUUAGAAAUGACUGCUAACACCGCAUAAUAUAGUGAAACCGCAUGAUUUUGCUAUCAAAUAUUUAUAGGUAUGAGAUGGGCCCGCGUCUGAUUAGCUAGUUGGUGGGGUAAAAGCCUACCAAGGCGACGAUCAGUAGCCGGCUUGAGAGAGUGACCGGCCACAUUGGGACUGAGACACGGCCCAAACUCCUACGGGAGGCAGCAGUGGGGAAUAUUGGACAAUGGGGGAAACCCUGAUCCAGCGAACCGCCGCGUGAGUGAAGAAGUAUUUCGGUAUGUAAAGCUCUAUCAGCAGGGAAGAUAAUGACAGUACCUGACUAAGAAGCCCCGGCUAACUACGUGCCAGCCGCAGC
RNAcentral lists this ribosomal RNA (498 nucleotides) under uncultured bacterium. RNAcentral's name for it is "bacterial SSU rRNA". It matches the Rfam family "Bacterial small subunit ribosomal RNA", at positions 19 to 518 of the family's 1533-position model. The record is from RNAcentral.